This 492-nucleotide ribosomal RNA is filed under the name uncultured bacterium. RNAcentral describes it as "partial 16S ribosomal RNA". It matches the Rfam family "Bacterial small subunit ribosomal RNA", at positions 28 to 507 of the family's 1533-position model. The record is from RNAcentral.
GAUGAACGCUAGCUACAGGCUUAACACAUGCAAGUCGAGGGGAAACGACAUCGAAAGCUUGCUUUUGAUGGGCGUCGACCGGCGCACGGGUGAGUAACGCGUAUCCAACCUGCCCAUCACUUGGGAAUAACCUUGCGAAAGUAAGACUAAUACCCAAUGAUAUCCCACGAAGGCAUCGGAGUGGGAUUAAAGAUUUAUCGGUGAUGGAUGGGGAUGCGUCUGAUUAGCUUGUUGGCGGGGUAACGGCCCACCAAGGCAACGAUCAGUAGGGGUUCUGAGAGGAAGGUCCCCCACAUUGGAACUGAGACACGGUCCAAACUCCUACGGGAGGCAGCAGUGAGGAAUAUUGGUCAAUGGGCGAGAGCCUGAACCAGCCAAGUAGCGUGCAGGAAGACGGCCCUAUGGGUUGUAAACUGCUUUUAUAAGGGAAUAAAGUGGGUCACGUGUGACUUUUUGCAUGUACCUUAUGAAUAAGGACCGGCUAAUUCCGUG